UAGUUUUAAAAAACCUAGUGCAAAAUC
This 27-nucleotide non-coding RNA is filed under the name Rattus norvegicus (Norway rat). Lineage: Eukaryota; Metazoa; Chordata; Mammalia; Rodentia; Muridae. The record is from RNAcentral.